This 484-nucleotide ribosomal RNA is filed under the name uncultured bacterium. RNAcentral describes it as "partial 16S ribosomal RNA". It matches the Rfam family "Bacterial small subunit ribosomal RNA", at positions 30 to 507 of the family's 1533-position model. The record is from RNAcentral.
AUUGAACGCUGGCGGCAGGCCUAACACAUGCAAGUCGAGCGGAUGAAGGGAGCUUGCUCCUGGAGUCAGCGGCGGACGGGGGAGUAAUGCCUAGGAAUCUGCCUGGUAGUGGGGGAUAACGUCCGGAAACGGGCGCUAAUACCGCAUACGUCCUGAGGGAGAAAGUGGGGGAUCGUCGGACCUCACGCUAUCAGAUGAGCCUAGGUCGGAUUAGCUAGUUGGUGGGGUAAAGGCCUACCAAGGCGACGAUCCGUAACUGGUCUGAGAGGAUGAUCAGUCACACUGGAACUGAGACACGGUCCAGAGUCCUACGGGAGGCAGCAGUGGGGAAUAUUGGACAAUGGGCGGAAGCCUUAUACAGCCAUGGCGAGUGUGUGAAGAAGGUCUUCGGAUUGUAAAGCACUUUAAGUUGGGAGGAAGGGCAGUAAGUUAAUACCUUGCUGUUUUGACGUUACCAACAGAAUAAGCACCGGCUAACUUCGUG